GACGAACGCUGGCGGCGUGCUUAACACAUGCAAGUCGAGCGGUAAGGCCCUUUCGGGGGUACACGAGCGGCGAACGGGUGAGUAACACGUGGGUGACCUGCCCUCAGCUCUGGGAUAAGCCUGGGAAACUGGGUCUAAUACUGGAUAUGACUCCACGGUGCAUGUCGUGGGGUGGAAAGCCUUGUGCGGCUGAGGAUGGGCCCGCGGCCUAUCAGCUUGUUGGUGGGGGAUGGCCUACCAAGGCGACGACGGGUAGCCGGCCUGAGAGGGCGGACCGGCCACACUGGGACUGAGACACGGCCCAGACUCCUACGGGAGGCAGCAGUGGGGAAUCUUGCGCAAUGGGCGAAAGCCUGACGCAGCGACGCCGCGUGAGGGAUGACGGCCU
RNAcentral lists this ribosomal RNA (388 nucleotides) under uncultured bacterium. RNAcentral describes it as "bacterial SSU rRNA". It matches the Rfam family "Bacterial small subunit ribosomal RNA", at positions 28 to 417 of the family's 1533-position model. The record is from RNAcentral.